RNAcentral lists this ribosomal RNA (269 nucleotides) under uncultured bacterium. RNAcentral describes it as "partial 16S ribosomal RNA". It matches the Rfam family "Bacterial small subunit ribosomal RNA", at positions 90 to 354 of the family's 1533-position model. The record is from RNAcentral.
CCGGACCGGCGCACGGGUGAGUAACACGUAUGCAACCUGGCCGUCACAGGUGGAUAACCGGAAGAAAUUCCGACUAAUACAGCAUAACACUCCUGAGGGACAUCCCUUGGGAGUCAAAGGAGGCAACUCCGGUGACGGAUGGGCAUGCGGCGCAUUAGGUAGUUGGUAGGGUAACGGCCUACCAAGCCGACGAUGCGUAGGGGUUCUGAGAGGAAGGUCCCCCACCAUUGGAACUGAGACACGGUCCAAACUCCUACGGAAGGCAGCAG